GUGACGAAGCGACGCCGCGUGUGGGAAGAAGGCCUUCGGGUUGUAAACCACUGUUGGGAGUUAGGAAAUGCGGGGGUGUUAAUAGCGCUCUCGCUUGACUAAAGCUCCAGAGGAAGCCACGGCUAACUCUGUGCCAGCAGCCGCGGUAAUACAGAGGCGGCAAGCGUUGUUCGGAAUUAUUGGGCGUAAAGAGCACGUAGGCGGCUCUGCAAGUCAGCUGUGAAAGCCUUCUGCUUAACGGAAGAACGGCAGUUGAAACUACAGGGCUUGAGUGCGGGAGGGGAGAGUGGAACUUCUGGUGGAGCGGUGAAAUGCGUAGAUAUCAGAAGGAACGCCGGCGGCGAAAGCGACUCUCUGGCCCGUAACUGACGCUGAGUGUGCGAAAGCUAGGGGAGCAAACGGGAUUAGAUACCCCGGUAGUCCUAGCCGUAAACGAU
This 437-nucleotide ribosomal RNA is filed under the name uncultured Planctomycetota bacterium. Its description in RNAcentral is "bacterial SSU rRNA". It matches the Rfam family "Bacterial small subunit ribosomal RNA", at positions 383 to 810 of the family's 1533-position model. The record is from RNAcentral. Lineage: Bacteria; Pseudomonadati; Planctomycetota.